This is an RNA transcript of Homo sapiens (human), 5725 nucleotides long. It is a transcript of the gene named ovostatin 2, pseudogene, with no coding region annotated. Lineage: Eukaryota; Metazoa; Chordata; Mammalia; Primates; Hominidae. The record is from RefSeq and is marked validated. The transcript has 45 exons.
GCAGUAUGUUCUGCUGAUUCCUUCUGUUCUACAAGAAGGCUCUUUGGAUAAAGCUUGUGCCCAGCUUUUUAAUCUCACUGAAUCUGUUGUUUUGACGGUCUCCCUCAACUAUGGUGAGGUCCAGACCAAAAUAUUUGAAGAAAAUGUUACUGGAGAAAAUUUCUUCAAAUGCAUCAGCUUUGAGGUUCCUCAGGCCAGAUCUGACCCACUGGCAUUUAUUACAUUUUCUGCUAAAGGAGCCACUCUCAACCUGGAAGAGAGGAGAUCUGUGGCAAUCAGAUCCAGAGAGAAUGUGGUCUUUGUACAGACUGAUAAACCCACCUACAAGCCUGGACAGAAAGUAUCCAGUGAUCACCCUUCAGGAUCCAGAAGGCAAUCGAAUACAACAGUGGGUGAAUGAGGAGUCUGUGGGAGGGAUUCUACAACUCUCCUUCCAGUUAAUCUCAGAGCCCAUCCUCGGAUGGUAUGAAAUCACCGUGGAGAUGCUCAAUGAGAAGAAAACAUAUCACUCCUUCUCUGUGGAAGAAUAUGUGUUACCCAAAUUUCAAAUGACUGUGGAUGCACCAGAAAAUAUCUUAGUUGUGGACUCUGAAUUCAAAGUGAAUGUCUGUGCCUUAUAUACCUAUGGUGAACCUGUGGACGGGAAGGUCCAACUUAGUGUGUGCAGAGAAUCUACGGCUUAUCAUUCAUGUGCUCAUCUUAUCAGUUCACUCUGUAAAAAUUUUACCAUUCAGUUGGGGAAAGAUGGCUGUGUCUCCAAGUUUAUUAACACAGAUGCUUUUGAGUGAAAUCGGGAAGGAUACUGGAGUUUCCUCAAAGUGCAUGCUCUUGUUACAGAGGACGGAACAGAUUAAAUUGCUUAAUCCAGACAACUCUCCAAUCCCAAAUGAAGUUGUUCAGUUGCAUCUGAAGGACAAAAUCGUGGGAAACUACACCACAGAUGUAAAUGGCAUCGCUCAGUUUUUCUUGGACACAUAUACGUUUACAUACCCAAAUAUCACUUUGAAAGCAGCCUACAAGGCCAAUGAAAAUUGCCAGGCUCAUGGCUGGGUGUUGCCUCAAUACCCUCAGCCCGAGUACUUUGCAUAUCGAUUUUACUCCAAGAUGAAUAGCUUCCUAAAGAUUGUCCAAGAGAUGGAAGAACUGAGAUGCAACCAGCAGAAGAGGGUGCUAGUGCACUGCAUUCUCAAUAUGGAAGACUUUGAAGACAAAACCUACACAGCAGACUUCAAUUAUUUGGUGAUUUCAAAAGGUGUAAUCAUUCUUCAUGGGCAACAGAAAAUUGAGAUCAACGAAAAUGGGAGGAAGGGCAUAUUUUCCAUUUCUAUAGACAUUAACCCUGAAUUAGCGCCCUCAGUACAUAUGCUUGUCUAUAGCUUGCAUCCUGGAGGAGAAAUGGUCACUGAUAGCACCCAAUUCCAAUUGAGAAAUGCUUCGAAAAUCAGGUCAACUUAAAUUUUUCUAAAGAAAAAAGUUUACCAGGAUCCAAUGUCGAUCUUCAAGUCUCGGCUGCUUCAAACUCUCUUUAUGCUCUUUGGGCGGUAGACCAGAGGGUAUUGCUACUAAGGAAUUAUGGUCAGCUGCCAGCACAAACUGUGUAUAGUCAGCUACAUUCCAGCGAACUACAUGGCUAUUAUUUCAGAGGACUUAACUUAGAAGAUGGCCUUAAAGUGCCGUGUCUUGAAGAUGGACAUAUCCUUUACAAUGGAAUUUAUUACACACCUGCAUGGGCUGACUUUGGAAAAGAUGGCUAUGACCUUGUGAAGGCAACAGGAUUAAAGAUUUUUACCAACUCUCACCUCCGGAAACCAGUAUUGUGCAAGGAUUCUAACCAUCUUGAAUCUACUGAUUACAUACCCUUAGGAUCCUCAAAACAAUCGGAUUUUUCAAUGGCAAAAUGUGACUUCUUUCCGAAAUAUUACCCAACUCUCGUUCCAACUGAUUUCAGAACCAAUGUUUGGAGAUUACUGGAUUGUUGUGAAAAGAAACUCAAGGAAGACAGUGACACACCAAUUUGCUGUUAAAAGAUAUGUGCUGCCCAAGUUUGAAGUUACGGUCAAUGCACCACAAACAGUAACUAUUUCAGAUGAUGAAUUCCAAGUGGAUGUAUGUGCUAAGUAUGCAGAUCAGUGAGAAGACCUCAGUUUUUAUCACUCAAUUGCUUGGAACUGUAAACUUUGAGAACAUGGAUACUUUCUACAGAAGAGGGAUUUCUUAUUUUGGAACUCUUAAAUUUUCGGAUCCCAAUAAUGUACCUAUGGUGAACAAGUUGUUGCAACUGGAGCUCAAUGAUGAAUUUAUAGGAAAUUAUACUACGGACGAGAAUGGCGAAGCUCAAUUUUCCAUUGACACUUCAGACAUAUUUGAUCCAGAGUUCAACCUAAAAGCCACAUAUGUUCGACCUAAGAGCUGCUAUCUUCCCAGCUGGUUGACGCCUCAGUACUUGGAUGCUCACUUCUUAGUCUCACGCUUUUACUCCCGAACGAACAGCUUCCUGAAGAUUGUUCCAGAACCAAAGCAGCUUGAAUGUAAUCACCAGAAGGUUGUUACUGUGCAUUACUCCCUAAACAGUGAAGCAUAUGAGGAUGAUUCCAAUGUAAAGUUCUUCUAUUUGAUGAUGGUAAAAGGAGCUAUCUUACUCAGUGGACAAAAGGAAAUCAGAAACAAAGCCUGGAAUGGAAACUUCUCGUUCCCACUCAGCAUCAGUGCUGAUCUGGCUCCUGCAGCCGUCCUGUUUGUCUACACCCUUCACCCCAGUGGGGAAAUUGUGGCUGACAGUGUCAGAUUCCAGGUUGACAAGUGCUUUAAACACAAGGUUAACAUAAAGUUCUCUAACGAGCAGGGCUUACCUGGUUCCAAUGCUAGUCUCUAUCUUCAAGCGGCGCCUGUCUUAUUCUGUGCCCUCGGGGCUGUGGAUGGGAACGUCCUUCUACUGAAAUCUGAACAACAGCUGUCAGCUGAAAGUGUGUAUAACAUGGUUCCAAGUAUAGAGCCGUAUGGUUAUUUCUACCAUGGCCUCAAUCUUGAUGAUGGCAAGGAAGACCCUUGCAUUCCUCAGAGGGAUAUGUUCUACAAUGGUUUAUAUUACACACCUGUAAGCAACUAUGGGGAUGGAGAUAUCUAUAAUAUUGUCAGGAACAUGGGUCUCAAAGUCUUUACCAAUCUCCAUUACCGAAAACCAGAAGUAUGUGUGAUGGAGAGAAGGCUGCCACUCCCUAAGCCGCUUUAUCUAGAAACAGAAAAUUAUGGUCCAAUGCAUAGUGUUCCGUCUAGAAUUGCAUCUAGUGGAAUCAGAGGGGAGAAUGCUGACUAUGUAGAACAGGCUAUAAUUCAAACAGUAAGAACAAACUUCCCAGAGACAUGGAUGUGGGACCUCGUCAGUGUCGAUUCCUCAGGCUCUGCCAAUCUUUCGUUCCUCAUUCCUGAUACGAUAACCCAAUGGGAGGCAAGUGGCUUUUGUGUGAAUGGCGACGUUGGAUUUGGCAUUUCCUCUACAACCACUCUAGAAGUCUCCCAACCUUUCUUUAUUGAAAUUGCCUCACCCUUUUCGGUUGUUCAAAAUGAACAAUUUGAUUUGAUUGUCAAUGCCUUCAGCUACCUGAAUACAUGUGUAGAGAUUUCUGUUCAAGUGGAGGAGUCUCAGAAUUAUGAAGCAAAUAUUAAUACCUGGAAAAUCAAUGGCAGUGAGGUUAUUCAAGCUGGAGGGAGGAAAACAAACAUCUGGACUAUUAUACCUAAGAAAUUGGGUAAAGUGAAUAUCACUGUAGUUGCUGAGUCCAAACAAAGCAGUGCUUGCCCAAAUGAAGGAAUGGAGCAGCAAAAGCUAAACUGGAAAGACACUGUGGUCAAAAGCUUCUUAGUAGAGCCUGAAGGUAUUGAAAAGGAAAGGACCCAGAGUUUCCUUAUCUGUACAGAAGGUGCCAAAGCCUCCAAGCAGGGAGUUUUGGACUUGCCAAAUGAUGUAGUAGAAGGGUCAGCCAGAGGCUUUUUCACUGUUGUGGGGGAUAUUCUAGGACUUGCCAUGCAGAAUCUGGUUGUUCUCCAAAUGCCCUAUGGAGGUGGAGAGCAGAAUGCUGCCCUACUAGCAUCUGAUACUUAUGUUCUGGACUAUCUGAAAUCUACUGAGCAACUGACAGAGGAAGUUCAAUCUAAGGCUUUCUUUCUCUUAUCUAAUGGUUAUCAAAGGCAAUUAUCUUUCAAAAACUCUGAUGGUUCCUAUAGUGUGUUUUGGCAGCAGAAUCAGAAAGGAAGCAUAUGGCUCAGUGCUCUUACUUUUAAGACAUUGGAGAGAAUGAAAAAAUUUGUAUUCAUUGAUGAAAAUGUUCAAAAACAGACCUUAAUCUGGCUUUCAAGCCAACAGAAAACAAGCGGCUGCUUUAAGAAUGAUGGCCAGCUUUUCAACCACGCCUGGGAGGGUGGAGAUGAAGAGGACAUUUCACUCACUGCAUAUGUUGUUGGGAUGUUCUUUGAAGCUGGGCUCAAUUCCACUUUUCCUGCUCUACGAAACGCACUCUUUUGCCUUGAAGCGGCAUUGGACAGUGGUGUCACUAAUGGCUACAAUCAUGCAAUUCUAGCUUAUGCUUUUGCCUUAGCUGGAAAAGAGAAGCAAGUGGAAUCUUUACUCCAAACCCUGGAUCAAUCUGCCACAAAACUAAAUAAUGUCAUCUACUGGGAAAGAGAAAGGAAACCCAAGACAGAAGAAUUUCCAUCCUUUAUUCCCUGGGCACCUUCUGCUCAGACUGAGAAGAGUUGCUAUGUGCUGUUGGCUGUCAUUUCCCGGAAAAUUCCUGACCUCACCUAUGCUAGUAAGAUUGUGCAGUGGCUUGCCCAACAGAUGAAUUCCCAUGGAGGCUUUUCUUCCAACCAGGCUCUGGUAGAUUGCAAACGACCUGCUUUCUUUGUGAUCCCGGGCUGCAUUCGGACCCCUGUCGGACAGUAAAUCCCAAGCUCCGGUAGAUUGCAAACGACCUGCUUUCUUCCUGAUCCCGGGCUGCGUUCGGACCCCUGUGGUAUAGUAAAUCCCAAGUAAGGUACCUGCGGUCGGCAGAUCUGAGCUUUCUUCUUGGACACCUAAUACCCAGGGUCCUCCAGCUGCGUUCGGACCCCUGUCGGAUAGUAAAUCCCAGUAAGGUACCUGCCGUGGGCAGAUCUGAGCUUUCUUCUUGGACACCCCAUACCCACAGUCCUCCAGGCCACCCUUAAGUACAAUGUUCUCCUACCUAAGAAGGCAUCUGGAUUUUCUCUUUCCUUGGAAAUAGUAAAGAACUACUCUUUGACUGUUUUUGACCUCACAGUGAACCUCAAAUACACUGGAAUUCGCAAUAAAUCCAGUAUGGUGGUUAUAGAUGUAAAAAUGCUAUCAGGAUUUACUCCAACCAUGUCAUCCAUUGAAGAGCUUGAAAACAAGGGCCAAGUGAUGAAGACUGAAGUCAAGAAUGACCAUGUUCUUUUCUACUUGGAAAAUGUUUUUGGUCGAGCAGACAGUUUCACUUUUUCUGCUGAGCAGAGCAACCUUGUGUUCAACAUUCAGCCAGCCCCAGGCAUGGUCUACGAUUAGUACGAAAAAGGUGGAGAAGCAUUUCUUUUAACAAACUGAUUCUUCUGUAUCAAACCUGGAAAAAAAUCAUGAACCAUCUGACAUCGUGAACAGUCUGCAGUGGGCUAUGGUUUCUUGACAAGUCUUAUUUCCUUAUCAUCCCAUUAAAUGUUGUCAUUUUGCAUCUGA